This 254-nucleotide ribosomal RNA is filed under the name uncultured bacterium. RNAcentral describes it as "partial 16S ribosomal RNA". It matches the Rfam family "Bacterial small subunit ribosomal RNA", at positions 524 to 776 of the family's 1533-position model. The record is from RNAcentral.
UACGUAGGGUGCGAGCGUUGUCCGGAAUUAUUGGGCGUAAAGGGCUCGUAGGCGGUCUGUCACGUCAGGAGUGAAAACUCGGGGCUCAACCCCGAGCCUGCUUCUGAUACGGGCAGACUGGAGGUAUGCAGGGGAGAACGGAAUUCCUGGUGUAGCGGUGAAAUGCGCAGAUAUCAGGAGGAACACCGGUGGCGAAGGCGGGUCUCUGGGCAGUAACUGACGCUGAGGAGCGAAAGCGUGGGGGAGCGAACAGG